GACGAACGCUGGCGGCGUGCUUAACACAUGUGAGUCGAACGGAAAGGCCCUGCUUUUGUGGGGUGCUCGAGUGGCGAACGGGUGAGUAACACGUGAGUAACCUGCCCUUGACUUUGGGAUAACUUCAGGAAACUGGGGCUAAUACCGGAUAGGAGCUCCUGCUGCAUGGUGGGGGUUGGAAAGUUUCGGCGGUUGGGGAUGGACUCGCGGCUUAUCAGCUUGUUGGUGGGGUAGUGGCUUACCAAGGCUUUGACGGGUAGCCGGCCUGAGAGGGUGACCGGCCACAUUGGGACUGAGAUACGGCCCAGACUCCUACGGGAGGCAGCAGUGGGGAAUAUUGCACAAUGGGCGGAAGCCUGAUGCAGCAACGCCGCGUGCGGGAUGACGGCCUUCGGGUUGUAAACCGCUUUCGCCUGUGACGAAGCGUGAGUGACGGUAAUGGGUAAAGAAGCACCGGCUAACUACGUG
RNAcentral lists this ribosomal RNA (468 nucleotides) under uncultured bacterium. RNAcentral describes it as "partial 16S ribosomal RNA". It matches the Rfam family "Bacterial small subunit ribosomal RNA", at positions 28 to 507 of the family's 1533-position model. The record is from RNAcentral.